AUGUAUCCUGUUGUUUCUUUCUUUCUGGCAGGCACACCUGAUUCUAGAAGACUAUACGCAUGUUGCGAGAUACUAGAAGCUGUCAUGUAUGCUUGCAAAGAGGGGCUGGAGAUUGCUAUACAGAAAAGUACGUUGCCCAUUCAAGUUGAGGUGAAUUCUGCCACUGCGGCAAUGUUGUUAAAAAGUGAAGUGGAUGAUAGAUCAAGGUUCGCGUUCCUCGUGCGCCGCGAUGUUAAGAAGUUACUUAGAAGCAAUAAUUCUUGUAUUACUCAUGUAUCUAAUACUCAGAAUUUAGCUAGUAUCUCUUUGGCAAUUUUUGCUAGAGACGGCAGUAGAACAAUGACCUGGGUUGGGUCUGGACCACCGGAGGUCCUUCAGGCUGCUGCAAUUGAUUGUAAGGAUACUACUAUUGAGUAA
RNAcentral lists this ribosomal RNA (417 nucleotides) under Triticum aestivum (bread wheat). Its description in RNAcentral is "partial small subunit ribosomal RNA". The record is from RNAcentral. Lineage: Eukaryota; Viridiplantae; Streptophyta; Magnoliopsida; Poales; Poaceae.